CUUGGUGUUUGAGCGGUGGGAAGGAGUUGAGGUGCAUGUACACCAAUGCUAGGAGCAUGGGUAAUAAGCAGGAAGAGCUUGCAGCUCUCCUGGAAAUGGGAGGGUAUGACCUGGAGGAGAUCACAGAAACUUGGUGGGCUGAAACGCAAGAUUGGAAUGUGAACAUAGAGGAGUAUCACCUUUUUAGAAAGGACAGGAAGGGAAAGAGGGGUGGGGGCAUGGCUUUAUAUGUCAGGGAAGGGAUAGGAUGCAGUGAGAUAGA
This is a long non-coding RNA of Varanus komodoensis (Komodo dragon), 262 nucleotides long. RefSeq lists it as uncharacterized. The transcript is spliced from 3 exons. The record is from RefSeq and is a predicted model, not a curated record. Lineage: Eukaryota; Metazoa; Chordata; Lepidosauria; Squamata; Varanidae.